RNAcentral lists this small nuclear RNA (23 nucleotides) under Arabidopsis thaliana (thale cress). Its description in RNAcentral is "snRNA_14824". Lineage: Eukaryota; Viridiplantae; Streptophyta; Magnoliopsida; Brassicales; Brassicaceae. The record is from RNAcentral.
ACUACUUGAACUUUUGGGUUGGA